Molecule: non-coding RNA, 73 nt
Organism: Apodemus sylvaticus (European woodmouse)
Lineage: Eukaryota; Metazoa; Chordata; Mammalia; Rodentia; Muridae
Source: the annotation of a RefSeq genome assembly
GCCCAGCUGACUCAGUCAGAAGAGCAUGAGAUUCUUAAUCUCAGGGUCAUAGGUUCAAGUCCCAUGUUGGGCA